UGGAGCGGGCAGCGGGAAUCGAACCCGCAUCAUCAGCUUGGAAGGCUGAGGUAAUAGCCAUUAUACGAUGCCCGC
This 75-nucleotide transfer RNA is filed under the name Shigella flexneri 2a str. 301. RNAcentral describes it as "tRNA-Gly". Lineage: Bacteria; Pseudomonadati; Pseudomonadota; Gammaproteobacteria; Enterobacterales; Enterobacteriaceae. The record is from RNAcentral. RNAcentral also lists the same sequence under 2 other names.